Molecule: non-coding RNA, 1588 nt
Organism: Rattus norvegicus (Norway rat)
Lineage: Eukaryota; Metazoa; Chordata; Mammalia; Rodentia; Muridae
Source: RefSeq, a predicted model, not a curated record
UGCACUGUAGAGAGCGGCGCGGCGAAACAAAGAUGGCGCCGACAUCCAGCCUUGUCUGGAUAUAAACGACUUACUGCGCAUGUGCAGGCUUGUCCCCUUGCUAGGGCUCCCCCUAGUGGUGAACAGCGGUACUGCACAUGUGCGGUUUAUGCACCAGGUGUUAGUUGACCGUUAAUAUGCUAAUGAGGUGAUUCAUUCUCCGCCAAUCCCUGGAGGACAAGUAGUGGGGUGAUCCAAGCCCCACCAAUCCCUGAGAGAUAAUUAGCAUACUGUUGUCUAUAUAAGCCGAGCGAUUUUGCUGCUCGGGGUCCCUGUUCAAGAGAGCUGUAACACUAAGAGAGCUGUAACACUAAGAAGAGCUGUAACACAGUAAAGGCUUGCUCGCAGAAGAAUCCUGUUGCCGCGCGUCGUUCUUGCUGGCGGGACAUUGGGCGCGCGACAAGUGGUGCCGAAACCCAGGAACCAACAUCGCCGGUGCCUAGGGGACCCUUCAGUGUGCUGAAGAGGAUUCAGAACUGCGAGAAGUGUUGGACAGAUGGAUCAGUGGUUACAUCUGAUUGUCAUGCGAGCAUGAGGAGAGGACUUCAGAUCCCCAGAAGCCUGCGUCAAUGUGGUGUGGACAGGACAGCACACCAUCACUCCAGCCUCAAUGAGUGGAAACUGGAGAUCAAUCCCCAGAGCAGGCUGGCUGGAGAGACCAGCUCUGGGUUGGAUGGAGAGGCCUGCCGCAGACAACAGGGCCUUGGAAGGAUUCCGGAUCUCAUGUUUGGAGGUAAAGAGGGAAGAGUAAGAGGAAAGAACAAACAACAUCCACCUUGCACCACAGAAGAUUCAUUCACAGGCCUUGGCACUGUGGGGAUUCGGAGUAGAGAUUUUAGCUCUGAUAUCCACGCGUAGAAUGGAAAUACAGAGGAGACUAAAACCAGUGAGAACCUCAAACAUCACCAAGAGGUGACUGGGAUUGAGUCAAGUUGACAGCUAACACUAUGGUAAUGGAGCAAUUCCUACCACCGCUCUGGUCACAUGAAGAAAGGAAUAGGAGACAUCACGGGUAAGCAAGCCGUGGUUUCGACAUAAUCACACAGUAAGAAAACUGAUUCUGGAAAGUUCCCUUCCAAAGGGCAUGGCGUUCCCUUCCAAAGGGCAUGGCGUUGUCUAACUUGAGAGUCAUCUGUCUCUGAUCCUUUCUCCCACCGUGUGGAACCAUUGGAGAGGCCAGUGAGUGACUGAUAAUGCAAAGCCAGAGGUGCCUACUGCACCCAGAGACCUUCCUGCCACAUCUCCUUCCUCCCUAAGACCCUUUAACUGGGGGUUGACAAGAGUCCCUCAACCUCUCUUCAAGCAAUUCACUGUAAGUGGAGUUUGUGUUGUAUGGGGCUCACAUUUACAAAGCUCAUCUAUUUAUUUGCUUGCUUGCUUUUGCAGUGUUGGGUAGACCCCAGACUUUUGUACAUUGGGUAAGAGAUCCAUCCUCGGCCCUUGAUUUUGUUUUUUCCCUUUUAUUCAUUAGUAUAUAUUAAUUAGUGAUAUAUGAUAAUAAGUUUCCUUAUUUUCAUGCAUGUGUGUAAUAAUUUUGAUCAUAUUCACC